CAGAAAAUGACUCUCAGGGGGUUAUCGAUGGAGGAGCUCCUUAAAAAGUUGAUGGAAGAAGGCAUUGAUGUAUCAGACGACGAGGCGCAAAGGUUUAGAGAUAACGAUGUAGAUGGAGAGACGGUAGACUGUGGACUCACUGAGACCAUGGUUGCAUAUCUUUUGACAAGUCUUUAAAGCAGCUGAAGUUCAGAGACUUCACAAACCGCUACAAGGAAGUCAUCAUCACUUUACAACCGGUCGACCCAUUUGAAGUUCUAUACCUUCUUGCCGUAGACUGCCUGCAGUUAUUUCCAUUCCAAAAUUCCCACAAGAUGUCCAGAGUCGCUUGGAUCUCAAAGAACCAGUCCAGAAAGAACAGAAGUACCGAAACAAAAUAAUUGGGACUCUUUAUGAAAUGCUGUCACAGUACACAAUGUACCCAACCCACUCAGACUACAUCCAGGUCAUCAAAGCCCUGAUUGUGAAGUAUCCUUUCUUAAGAGAUGUACACGGAAAUGGUUAUGACACCUGGCACAGCCAACUCAAGAGAAAGUUCAAAGCAGAACGGGCUCCCCUAAUCAGCAACGAAGAAGUGAACCGGGUUAAAGAAAAGUUUGGGCGCACGCAGAAACAUCGGACCACAGAGGAAUCCAGCAGCUCCUGUCUGAAGAGACUGAAGCCCUCUCUCGUAAAUCCUCACACCCUCAGCCUCUAAGAGCU
Long non-coding RNA from Oreochromis aureus, 702 nucleotides. Lineage: Eukaryota; Metazoa; Chordata; Actinopteri; Cichliformes; Cichlidae. The record is from Ensembl.